Molecule: ribosomal RNA, 253 nt
Filed under: uncultured bacterium
Lineage: Bacteria
Description: partial 16S ribosomal RNA
Rfam family: Bacterial small subunit ribosomal RNA
Source: RNAcentral
UACGUAGGUGGCGAGCGUUGUCCGGAAUUACUGGGCGUAAAGGGCGCGCAGGCGGCCUGUUAAGUCAGAUGUGAAAUCCCCGGGCUUAACCCGGGAAUGGCAUUUGAAACUGGCGGGCUUGAGGGCAGGAGAGGAAAGCGGAACUCCCAGUGUAGCGGUGAAAUGCGUAGAUAUUGGGAGGAACACCAGUGGCGAAGGCGGCUUUCUGGACUGUACCUGACGCUGAGGUGCGAAAGCCAGGGGAGCGAACGGG